AGAGUUUGAUCAUGGCUCAGGACGAACGCUGGCGGCGUGCUUAACACAUGCAAGUCGAGCGGAAAGGCCCUUUGGGGUACUCGAGCGGCGAACGGGUGAGUAACACGUGAGUAAUCUGCCCUUGGCUUUGGGAUAACUACCGGAAACGGUGGCUAAUACCGGAUACGACAACCGUCUGCAUGGGCUGGUUGUGGAAAGUUUUUUCGGCCAGGGAUGUGCUCGCGGCCUAUCAGCUUGUUGGUGGGGUAAUGGCCUACCAAGGCUUCGACGGGUAGCCGGCCUGAGAGGGUGACCGGCCACACUGGGACUGAGACACGGCCCAGACUCCUACGGGAGGCAGCAGUGGGGAAUAUUGGACAAUGGGCGGAAGCCUGAUCCAGCAACGCCGCGUGAGGGAUGACGGCCUUCGGGUUGUAAACCUCUUUCAGUACCGACGAAGCGCCGAUGAUGGUGGUGACGGUAGGUACAGAAGAAGCACCGGCCAACUACGUGCCAGCAGCCGCGGUA
This 507-nucleotide ribosomal RNA is filed under the name uncultured Actinomycetes bacterium. RNAcentral describes it as "bacterial SSU rRNA". It matches the Rfam family "Bacterial small subunit ribosomal RNA", at positions 8 to 522 of the family's 1533-position model. The record is from RNAcentral. Lineage: Bacteria; Bacillati; Actinomycetota; Actinomycetes.